RNAcentral lists this ribosomal RNA (483 nucleotides) under uncultured bacterium. RNAcentral's name for it is "bacterial SSU rRNA". It matches the Rfam family "Bacterial small subunit ribosomal RNA", at positions 30 to 505 of the family's 1533-position model. The record is from RNAcentral.
AUUGAACGCUGGCGGCAUGCCUUACACAUGCAAGUCGAACGGCAGCACGGGAGCAAUCCUGGUGGCGAGUGGCGAACGGGUGAGUAAUAUAUCGGAACGUGCCCAGUCGUGGGGGGAUAACGCAGCGAAAGUUGUGCUAAUACCGCAUACGAUCUAUGGAUGAAAGCGGGGGAUCGCAAGACCUCGCGCGAUUGGAGCGGCCGAUAUCAGAUUAGGUUGUUGGUGAGGUAAAAGCUCACCAAGCCUGCGAUCUGUAGCUGGUCUGAGAGGACGACCAGCCACACUGGAACUGAGACACGGUCCAGACUCCUACGGGAGGCAGCAGUGGGGAAUUUUGGACAAUGGACGAAAGUCUGAUCCAGCAAUGCCGCGUGCAGGACGAAGGCCUUCGGUUGUAAACUGCUUUGUUACAGAACGAAAAGUACUUUAAUAACACCUAGAGGCUCAUGACGGUACUGUAAGAAUAAGCACCGGCUAACUACG